AAUCAGUCUGAAAAUAUUCACUGCAGCAUUUGAUACAUAGUUUUCUACUCACAAAUGUUUGACCAUAUUCUGGAAUAAUCACAUUGAGCAGUUGAGGUUAUGAUCUGUGCCAUCAAGUUGACAACAAUAACAUGGGAUUCUGAGGACAUGACACGUAGAGGACAAGAAAGUUCCCCAAUAUAUGGCAAUGAAAAUCUUCAACAGGCUAAAAGAAAAGAACAUUCCCAAUGUGAUACGAGGUCCACUGAAAAAGAAGCUACAGGAUACUCUGAUACAGAAAUAUUACUACAGGAUGGAAGAGUUCUUGAAAGACUAAAUGAAAAUUUAUGUUGGGUGUCAUUGAUCAUUAGUCUUAUUACAUAAGACUAACCAUUCAUUUUAAGAGCAAAAAUUAUUAACUUUAGGGUACUGCUUUGUCUAAUCAGCUGUAAUUUUAUAUAAGUGAAUUGUAUUAGUAAUUUUUGACAUAUCUCCUGUACUCUAAUCAGAUGAUUGAUAAGUGUGUGUCAUGUUGUGAGACAAAUAAAUUGCAAUUCAUUAUUUA
Long non-coding RNA from Schistocerca cancellata (South American locust), 544 nucleotides. RefSeq lists it as uncharacterized. NCBI's taxonomy places the organism in Eukaryota, Metazoa, Arthropoda, Insecta, Orthoptera, Acrididae. The record is from RefSeq and is a predicted model, not a curated record. The transcript has 2 exons.